Hemicordylus capensis (graceful crag lizard) is the source of this 72-nucleotide non-coding RNA. NCBI's taxonomy places the organism in Eukaryota, Metazoa, Chordata, Lepidosauria, Squamata, Cordylidae. The record is from the annotation of a RefSeq genome assembly.
GGGGUUGUUGUUCAGUGGCAGAGCGUCUGCUUUAGAUGCAGAAGGUCCCAGGUUCAAUCCCUGGUAUCUCCA